AUUCUCUCUCUCUCUCUCUCUCUCUCUCUCUCUCUCUCUGUGUGUGUGUGUGUGUGUGUGAGAGAGAGAGAGAGAGAGAGAGAGAGAUU
Non-coding RNA from Podarcis lilfordi (Lilford's wall lizard), 89 nucleotides. NCBI's taxonomy places the organism in Eukaryota, Metazoa, Chordata, Lepidosauria, Squamata, Lacertidae. The record is from the annotation of a GenBank genome assembly.